GGUGGCUCAGUGGUUAAGUGGUUGGCUGCUAACCAAAAGGUUGGUGGUUCAAACCAACCAGACACCC
Molecule: transfer RNA, 67 nt
Filed under: Loxodonta africana (African savanna elephant)
Lineage: Eukaryota; Metazoa; Chordata; Mammalia; Proboscidea; Elephantidae
Rfam family: tRNA
About the family: Transfer RNA (tRNA) molecules are approximately 80 nucleotides in length. Their secondary structure includes four short double-helical elements and three loops (D, anti-codon, and T loops).
Source: Rfam by way of RNAcentral